GAUGAACGCUAGCGGCAGGCUUAACACAUGCAAGUCGAGGGGCAACACGGGUAGCAAUACCUGGUGGCGACCGGCGCAAGGGUGCGUAACGCGUGAGCAACAUGCCCUAUACAGGGGGAUAAUCCAGGGAAACUUGGUCUAAUAUCCCAUAGUAUUUAGAGGUGGCAUCACCACUAAAUUAAAGCUUCGGUGGUAUAGGAUUGGCUCGCGUGACAUUAGCUGGAUGGUGGGGUAACGGCUCACCAUGGCGAUGAUGUCUAGGGGUUCUGAGAGGAAGACCCCCCACACUGGGACUGAGACACGGCCCAGACUCCUACGGGAGGCAGCAGUGAGGAAUAUUGGACAAUGGAUGGAAAUCUGAUCCAGCCAUGCCGCGUGCAGGAAGACGGCCCUAUGGGUUUAAACUGCUUUUAAUGGGAGCAAUAAGGUUUACGCGUAGACCGAUGAGAGUACCAUAUGAAUAAGCAUCGGCUAACUCCGU
This 481-nucleotide ribosomal RNA is filed under the name uncultured bacterium. RNAcentral describes it as "bacterial SSU rRNA". It matches the Rfam family "Bacterial small subunit ribosomal RNA", at positions 28 to 506 of the family's 1533-position model. The record is from RNAcentral.